Molecule: transfer RNA, 74 nt
Filed under: Oribacterium sp. KHPX15
Lineage: Bacteria; Bacillati; Bacillota; Clostridia; Lachnospirales; Lachnospiraceae
Rfam family: tRNA
About the family: Transfer RNA (tRNA) molecules are approximately 80 nucleotides in length.
Source: Rfam by way of RNAcentral
UGCGGUAUAGCUCAAUUGGCAGAGCGCCUGACUUUGACUCAGGAUUAUUAUAGGUUCAAGUCCUAUUGCCGCAG